UACGUAGGGUCCGAGCGUUGUCCGGAAUCAUUGGGCGUAAAGCGCGUGUAGGCGGUUCGAUAAGUCUGCUGUGAAAGUCCAGGGCUCAACCCUGGGAUGCCGGUGGAUACUGUCGGGCUAGAGUACGGAAGAGGCGAGUGGAAUUCCCGGUGUAGCGGUGAAAUGCGCAGAUAUCGGGAGGAACACCAAUGGCGAAGGCAGCUCGCUGGGACGUGACUGACGCUGAGACGCGAAAGCGUGGGGAGCAAACAGG
RNAcentral lists this ribosomal RNA (253 nucleotides) under uncultured bacterium. RNAcentral's name for it is "partial 16S ribosomal RNA". It matches the Rfam family "Bacterial small subunit ribosomal RNA", at positions 524 to 776 of the family's 1533-position model. The record is from RNAcentral.